CCAGCCCUAGAGGCACGCUCACGUGCACACUCAUUCGAAUGUGCACACACACCUUGGACCUCCUUUGGCAAUGCCAGCUCUCUGCCCCUACCUAGAUGCGAGAACUUUCAAUCAUUUAAAUGAAGUAAUAAUUACAGGCAAGGUUUGGUGAGUUCUUACUAUGUGUCAGGCCUUAUCCACGCAGCUUAUGUGAAGACCACACAUGAACAUAGAAGAGGAGUGUGUGCCGUGUCUUAGUGUGUGGUGUGUGUGUGUGUGUUUUGGAGAACACGCCCAUACCUCUACUAAUCUGAACCUCACGUUAAAACUAAAUACAUAAGGAUGAGUGGUUGCUGUGCUAUUAGGAACCAUGUAACAUGUACCACUAGCUAAAUACAGAAAUUCAACCAUAGGUCUUCCUGGAACUGAUUCCAGGAUCAUCCUGAGGGCCUGUUUCCUUCAAUUCAAUGACCACGUAAUUACUUGAAACUCCCAGAGAUGGAUCAGGUGAGGGACAAGGAGACGGCAGGAUCCCAGAGCAGGGACCAUCAAUCCCUGAGGAGUCUGAAUGGAACAAGAUCUGCAAGUGGCCCCUGGCACAUCCGAGGAGCCCAGCCAAUGAGAGUCCUGUCUUUCCUGGGUCAGAAGCAACCUUGGACACUCAAGUCCAGUGCCAGCUGGGCAUCUCCGCAGCUCCUCUCAACCUAUCCAUCUGCCUCUGUCCCAUUGCUGGCUCUGACCUUAGGUUCCAAGCUCUUCCUAGGACCACCCUCCUCGGAAGACCCGUUCCGGGAGGUCUACCAUGAGGCCCAGUUUUCAAGGCCUCAGGCCACCUGCAGGCCCCACCUUUCUGCAAAUGGUAGUGGCCUGGUUUCCUUCCUUGCCCACUCAAACAGUGCCAUCCUCUACCUCCCUCCCUGUUCCCCAGGCUGAGCCAGUCAGGGACCACCUGCUGAGCCAGAGGGGCACCCCUAGGGGCUAAGGCUCCCUCUCAAGUAACCAACUGUGUAGACCUGAGCAAGGGGCUCCCCUUCCCACUCCCGAUUUUUUAGUUCUCCUCUACCAGAAAAACAGGGAGACGAAAUCCACGCCUGGCAUGUGCCUUUGUGUACCAACCAGUGAAGGACAGGCCCAAUUCUAGUGCUGAACAGGCAGUUUGCCAGGAGCAGUCAAGAUCACCCCUCCCUCCACUCCCAGGGUGGCAAAGGGCAUUCAUUACAUCCAGCAGGGAGGGGGAGUGUUUAACUCACUCUAAAGGGGGCUGGGGUGAUGGGGGUAGUGGGAGGGACAAUUCACAAAAGCCAGGGCUUAGAAACUCCCAACGGUUUUUUUUUUUUCCAGAACUUCC
This 1327-nucleotide long non-coding RNA is filed under the name Sus scrofa (pig). RNAcentral's name for it is "lncRNA (ENSSSCG00065073999.1)". Lineage: Eukaryota; Metazoa; Chordata; Mammalia; Artiodactyla; Suidae. The record is from RNAcentral.